Molecule: long non-coding RNA, 420 nt
Organism: Hemicordylus capensis (graceful crag lizard)
Lineage: Eukaryota; Metazoa; Chordata; Lepidosauria; Squamata; Cordylidae
Exons: 2
Source: RefSeq, a predicted model, not a curated record
CAAAGAGCUGCUUUCCUCCCGCCUCUCAGCUGAUCGGCGGGUGGGCGGGGCUUCCACGGAGGUCUGGUGUAGGCCUCUGUGAAGCCUGAACUCGAGUAGGGCCCAAACAAGCCAGGAAGGAGGAGGCAGCCAGAGAGGCCUCCACUGUUCUCUGCAGCAGAAGACCCCCUGCUGCCAGGUGCUGAUUAUCAGAACUGAAGAUUCCCAUUUAUGAUUAUCGUUCUUUAACGAACUUAACCUGAAUCAAGUCUUAAUGAUCACAGUGGCUACAGAAGCUGUUAACCUUGGGAAGGUUGUUAACAUUCUGUUUUCUCUCUGUGAUGCAACCUUGAGUAUUUUGUUCUGAAAUAUUCAGUCUGGUGUGGCUGUUUAUGUGCACACUACAGAAAUAAUGCUAAUAAAGGAUUCUGAAGAUUUUAA